RNAcentral lists this ribosomal RNA (773 nucleotides) under uncultured Neocallimastigales. RNAcentral describes it as "partial large subunit ribosomal RNA". It matches the Rfam family "Eukaryotic large subunit ribosomal RNA", at positions 24 to 642 of the family's 3401-position model. Lineage: Eukaryota; Fungi; Neocallimastigomycota; Neocallimastigomycetes; Neocallimastigales. The record is from RNAcentral.
UAUCUCUGUAGAGUCUGCAUAUCAAUAAGCGGAGGAAAAGAAGCUAACAAGGAUUCCCCUAGUAACGGCGAGUGAAGCGGGAAGAGCUCAAAUUUGAAAUCUUCAAGGUUUACCUUGACGAAUUGUAGUUUAAAGAAGUGUUUUCGGUUAGAGGAGUAGUAAAAGUUCUUUGGAAUAGGACAUCAUAGAGGGUGAGAAUCCCGUAUUUGACUAUUCUUUCUAGCUUUGUGAUACACUUUCAAAGAGUCGGAUUGUUUGGGAAUGCAGUCCAAAAUGGGUGGUAAAUUUCAUCUAAAGCUAAAUAUUGGCGAGAGACCGAUAGCGAACAAGUACCGUGAGGGAAAGAUGAAAAGAACUUUGAAAAGAGAGUUAAACAGUACGUGAAAUUGUCAAAAGGGAAGCGUUUGACACCAGUGUUGUUUUUCCGAAAAUCAAUUAAAAAUUGAUUCAUGCCAGGUUGUAUUGACCUUAUCAGCUUGCAAUUUGGUUUUGGGUCUCUUUUUGAUGCACUUUUCGGUUAACAAGUCAACAUCAAUUUCCUUUGCUGUAAAAAGGUAAGAGGAAGGUGGCUUCAAUUUCGGUUGAAGUGUUUAUAGCCUUUUAUCUCUGCAGUCGGGGAGAUUGAGGUCUGCAGCGUAGAUCCUUCGGGGCUAGAUACAUUUAUGCUAAGUUAUAGCUUUUCAUAGACAACUUGUUGACUAUGUUUAGUCAUGUAGCUUACUCGUAAGUGCUAUUUUACCUACGCUUAGGAUGUUGAGCGCAUGUCUCUCUCU